GUGAGUAGUUCUAGAGUUUGAUCCUGGCUCAGGACGAACGCUGGCGGCACGCUUAACACAUGCAAGUCGAACGGAGAUAAUUACUUCGGUAUUUAUCUUAGUGGCGGACGGGUGAGUAACACGUGAGGAACCUGCCUCUGAGUGCGGAAUAGCUUCUGGAAACGGAUGGUAAUACCGCAUAAUAUUUAUGUUAUCGCAUGGUAAUAUAAUCAAAGAUUUAUUGCUCAGAGAUGGCCUCGCGUCUGAUUAGCUAGUUGGUGAGGUAACGGCCCACCAAGGCGACGAUCAGUAGCCGGACUGAGAGGUUGGACGGCCACAUUGGGACUGAGACACGGCCCAG
RNAcentral lists this ribosomal RNA (340 nucleotides) under uncultured bacterium. RNAcentral's name for it is "bacterial SSU rRNA". It matches the Rfam family "Bacterial small subunit ribosomal RNA", at positions 1 to 334 of the family's 1533-position model. The record is from RNAcentral.